GGUGACGAGCGGCGGACGGGUGAGUAAUGUCUGGGAAACUGCCUGAUGGAGGGGGAUAACUACUGGAAACGGUAGCUAAUACCGCAUAACGUCGCAAGACCAAAGAGGGGGACCUUCGGGCCUCUUGCCAUCAGAUGUGCCCAGAUGGGAUUAGCUAGUAGGUGGGGUAACGGCUCACCUAGGCGACGAUCCCUAGCUGGUCUGAGAGGAUGACCAGCCACACUGGAACUGAGACACGGUCCAGACUCCUACGGGAGGCAGCAGUGGGGAAUAUUGCACAAUGGGCGCAAGCCUGAUGCAUCCAUGCCGCGUGUAUGAAGAAGGCCUUCGGGUUGUAAAGUACUUUCAGCGGGGAGGAAGGCGAUAAGGUUAAUAACCUUGUCGAUUGACGUUACCCGCAGAAGAAGCACCGGCUAACUCCGUGCCAGCAGCCGCGGUAAUACGGAGGGUGCAAGCGUUAAUCGGAAUUACUGGGCGUAAAGCGCACGCAGGCGGUCUGUCAAGUCGGAUGUGACAUCCCCGGGCUCAACCUGGGAACUGCAUUCGAAAC
RNAcentral lists this ribosomal RNA (550 nucleotides) under bacterium BaA1-7. RNAcentral describes it as "bacterial SSU rRNA". It matches the Rfam family "Bacterial small subunit ribosomal RNA", at positions 87 to 633 of the family's 1533-position model. The record is from RNAcentral.